Camelus ferus (Wild Bactrian camel) is the source of this 72-nucleotide transfer RNA. It matches the Rfam family "tRNA". Rfam says of the family: Transfer RNA (tRNA) molecules are approximately 80 nucleotides in length. Their secondary structure includes four short double-helical elements and three loops (D, anti-codon, and T loops). Further hydrogen bonds mediate the characteristic L-shaped molecular structure. tRNAs have two regions of fundamental functional importance: the anti-codon, which is responsible for specific mRNA codon recognition, and the 3' end, to which the tRNAs corresponding amino acid is attached (by aminoacyl-tRNA synthetases). tRNAs cope with the degeneracy of the genetic code in two manners: having more than one tRNA (with a specific anti-codon) for a particular amino acid; and 'wobble' base-pairing, i.e. permitting non-standard base-pairing at the 3rd anti-codon position. The record is from Rfam. Lineage: Eukaryota; Metazoa; Chordata; Mammalia; Artiodactyla; Camelidae.
GCAGAUAUGGCUCAGUGGUAGAGUGCAUGAUUAGCAUGCACGAGGUCCUGGGUUCAAGCCCCAGUACCUCCA